UUCAUAAUUCUUCUUCACUGCAGGCGAUAGGAUACUUCCUGGCCAAAGGUACUCUCUCUUCAGAAAAGACAGCAGAAAUACUGUCAGAGGCUGUGAGGCGCCUAGGCCAGAUUGGUUUCACAGUAAUUUCUGUGGUCUGUGACCAAUCGUCUUCUAACAUAAAGACACUAAAGCUGUUGGGAGCCAGCCUGGACAUUGCAGACGGCACAGAUGUGGCACACUGUAUAUCAGUGGAUGGGAAGAAAAUUCCACUGAUAUUCGAUGUGCCUCAUCUUGAAAAAUCUGUGCGUAACAACUUUAAAAAACAUGGUCUGAAGAUAGGAGCGAAAUAAGCCCAGUGGAAACACUUUGAAAUGUUUUAUGAUAUUGACAGACAGACCUCUAUCCGCAUGGCUCCAAAAAUAACUAGGAAGCAUGUAUCACUGCCGCCUUUCACGAACAUGCGAGUUCGACUUGCAACUCAAGUCUUCAGUCACACUGUGGCAGCCGGGAUGAAGACCAUGAUUGACCUAAAAAGGGUACCAAGUGAGGCACAUGCUACAGCGGAGUUCUUCGAGGAUAUGAACAGGCUGUUU
This is a long non-coding RNA of Cololabis saira (Pacific saury), 575 nucleotides long. RefSeq lists it as uncharacterized. The transcript is spliced from 4 exons. Lineage: Eukaryota; Metazoa; Chordata; Actinopteri; Beloniformes; Belonidae. The record is from RefSeq and is a predicted model, not a curated record.